Long non-coding RNA from Oxyura jamaicensis (ruddy duck), 1033 nucleotides. RefSeq lists it as uncharacterized. The transcript has 3 exons. The record is from RefSeq and is a predicted model, not a curated record. NCBI's taxonomy places the organism in Eukaryota, Metazoa, Chordata, Aves, Anseriformes, Anatidae.
CCUCAGCACAGCUAAGAAUAUCAUCACCACUGUGGCUUUGUGCAGUUUGAGUCAGAGGACCAAGUAUUCUAAACUGAAUGUUACAGAGCAGGAUUAAACAUAAAAUUAUGAUUUCUAAGUUAUACAGCACUCUUCAAAAAUUCAAGAAUACUAGUACUUCAAUGGUAUUUUGCUUGAGUAAGAGCUGCUGGAUGCAGACUGGAUUUAAUGGCUAGUAAACAGCUUUAGGAUUUGGCUUGCCAUUUGUACCUCUUAAAGACUUCUCUAUCCAAAAGUGCUAAUGUUUGACUCAACAAACUGUGUCAUUAGCUCAGCUAUAGUUUCAAGGAGAAAUUCCCUGGACAAGGAUAAGACUGCUCUGGAGCGACUGAAUUCCUUCCUGCAGAAAAAGUCUCUGAGGAUUAUAUUUCUCAGCAAGCCAAAGGGUAUUCAGAGGGAUGGAAAUUUCAGAUGUCUCUCCUCAGGUCUUCCUCCAAGUGUGCCACUACUCAUGACAGAGGGCAGAGAGAUUGUGCUGCACUCCUGCUUCACCCCUUCCUGUCAAACUAUCCGCAGGAGCAGCCAAAAUGUGACCUAAGCUCCAGCCAAGCAUGGACCCAGGUGGGAAUAAAACAGCUGAGGCUCAUUCUCAGCAAAGAGGAGGGUGCUGAUGGCAUGAGGAUUGCUGUCCCCAGUAUAUGUUAAGUUUACAAGAGCCAUCAACAAGAUCAGAAGCAGUCCAGAGGAGAUGCUACCUUCUACACCCUGCUGGGCAAAUUCGUCUUGCACGUACAGAUCAUGCUGGAAGUGCCAGAGGAUGUGGACACUUGCUUGGCGAGGCGGGCAGCCCACAUGCAACUGGUCCCCAGCCGGGCACGUGGCAUGGCUCAUGCGUGUCACCUGCCUUUCUGGAAAUGCAAGAGACUAAGACAUACAGCAGGGCUACACAUUGCUGCUCUGAAGAAAGGGUUUGCCUGUUGCACAGUGUAAUGUUUUGCUAUAGAAGUUUCGAGCAGUUUAUAUACAGUAUUCAAAUUGCACAGACUGGGGUUCA